UUGAACGCUGGCGGCAUGCCUUACACAUGCAAGUCGAACGGUAACAGGGAGCUUGCUCCGCUGACGAGUGGCGAACGGGUGAGUAAUGUAUCGGAACGUACCAUUGAGUGGGGGAUAACGUAGCGAAAGUUACGCUAAUACCGCAUAUUCUCUCCGGAGGAAAGCAGGGGACCGCAAGGCCUUGCGCUCUUUGAGCGGCCGAUCUCAGAUUAGCUAGUUGGUGGGGUAAAAGCUCACCAAGGCGACGAUCUGUAGCGGGUCUGAGAGGAUGAUCCGCCACACUGGAACUGAGACACGGUCCAGACUCCUACGGGAGGCAGCAGUGGGGAAUUUUGGACAAUGGGGGCAACCCUGAUCCAGCCAUUCCGCGUGAGUGAAGAAGGCCUUCGGGUUGUAAAGCUCUUUCAGCCGGAACGAAACGGUACGCUCUAACAUAGCGUGUUAAUGACGGUACCGGCAGAAGAAGCACCGGCUAACUACGU
Molecule: ribosomal RNA, 482 nt
Filed under: uncultured bacterium
Lineage: Bacteria
Description: bacterial SSU rRNA
Rfam family: Bacterial small subunit ribosomal RNA
Source: RNAcentral